UCGAAUCCUGCAAAGCAGAACGACCAGAGAA
RNAcentral lists this ribosomal RNA (31 nucleotides) under Myrtus communis. RNAcentral's name for it is "partial 18S ribosomal RNA". Lineage: Eukaryota; Viridiplantae; Streptophyta; Magnoliopsida; Myrtales; Myrtaceae. The record is from RNAcentral.